Molecule: ribosomal RNA, 492 nt
Filed under: uncultured bacterium
Lineage: Bacteria
Description: partial 16S ribosomal RNA
Rfam family: Bacterial small subunit ribosomal RNA
Source: RNAcentral
AGUGAACGCUGGCGGUAGGCCUAACACAUGCAAGUCGAACGGCAGCACAGUAAGAGCUUGCUCUUACGGGUGGCGAGUGGCGGACGGGUGAGGAAUACAUCGGAAUCUACUUUUUCGUGGGGGAUAACGUAGGGAAACUUACGCUAAUACCGCAUACGACCUACGGGUGAAAGCAGGGGAUCUUUGGACCUUGCGCGAUUGAAUGAGCCGAUGUCGGAUUAGCUAGUUGGCGGGGUAAAGGCCCACCAAGGCGACGAUCCGUAGCUGGUCUGAGAGGAUGAUCAGCCACACUAGAACUGAGACACGGUCCAGACUCCUACGGGAGGCAGCAGUGGGGAAUAUUGGACAAUGGGCGCAAGCCUGAUCCAGCCAGACCGCGUGGGUGAAGGAGGCCUUCGGGUUGUAAAGCCCUUUUGUUGGGAAAGAAAAGCAGCAGGUUAAUACCCCGCUGUUCUGACGGUACCCAAAGAAUAAGCACCGGCUAACUUCGUG